UUUUAGAUAUGUAUAUUACCUAUGUAAGGUUAAGUAUUACCGUUUAAGACUGCAUCAUGCUUAGUUAGGCUAGGUCCAAGGUUAUCAUUAGCCUGGGUACCAGUCUCUUAGUUAGGCUAGGUCCAAGGUUAUCAUUAGCCUGGGUACCAGUCUCUUAGUUAGGCUAGUUCCAAGGUUAUCAUUAGCCUGGGUACCAGUCUCUUAGUUAGGCUAGGUCCAAGGUUAUCAUUAGCCUGGGUACCAGUCUCUUAGUUAGGCUAGGUCCAAGGUUAUCAUUAGCCUGGGUACCAGUCUCUUAGUUAGGCUAGGUCCAAGGUUAUCAUUAGCCUGGGUACCAGUCUCUUAGUUAGGCUAGGUCCAAGGUCAUCAUUAG
Long non-coding RNA from Oncorhynchus tshawytscha (Chinook salmon), 373 nucleotides. RefSeq lists it as uncharacterized. The record is from RefSeq and is a predicted model, not a curated record. Lineage: Eukaryota; Metazoa; Chordata; Actinopteri; Salmoniformes; Salmonidae. The transcript has 4 exons.